AGUGAACGCUGGCGGCAGGCCUAACACAUGCAAGUCGAGCGGCAGCGCGGGGGCAACCCUGGCGGCGAGCGGCGGACGGGUGAGGAAUUCGUCGGAAUCUGCCUUUUUGUGGGGGAUAACGUAGGGAAACUUACGCUAAUACCGCAUACGUCCUACGGGAGAAAGUGGGGGACCGCAAGGCCUCACGCAGAAAGAUGAGCCGACGACCGAUUAGCUAGUUGGUGGGGUAAAGGCCCACCAAGGCGACGAUCGGUAGCUGGUCUGAGAGGAUGAUCAGCCACACUGGGACUGAGACACGGCCCAGACUCCUACGGGAGGCAGCAGUGGGGAAUAUUGGACAAUGGGCGCAAGCCUGAUCCAGCCAUGCCGCGUGUGUGAAGAAGGCCUCCGGGUUGUAAAGCACUUUUGUCCGGAAAGAAAUCCCUGGAGCUAAUACCUUCGGGGGAUGACGGUACCGGAAGAAUAAGCACCGGCUAACUUCGUG
RNAcentral lists this ribosomal RNA (484 nucleotides) under uncultured bacterium. RNAcentral describes it as "partial 16S ribosomal RNA". It matches the Rfam family "Bacterial small subunit ribosomal RNA", at positions 29 to 507 of the family's 1533-position model. The record is from RNAcentral.